RNAcentral lists this ribosomal RNA (492 nucleotides) under uncultured bacterium. Its description in RNAcentral is "partial 16S ribosomal RNA". It matches the Rfam family "Bacterial small subunit ribosomal RNA", at positions 29 to 507 of the family's 1533-position model. The record is from RNAcentral.
AGUGAACGCUGGCGGUAGGCCUAACACAUGCAAGUCGAACGGCAGCACAGUAAGAGCUUGCUCUUACGGGUGGCGAGUGGCGGACGGGUGAGGAAUACAUCGGAAUCUACUUUUUCGUGGGGGAUAACGUAGGGAAACUUACGCUAAUACCGCAUACGACCUACGGGUGAAAGCAGGGGAUCUUCGGACCUUGCGCGAUUGAAUGAGCCGAUGUCGGAUUAGCUAGUUGGCGGGGUAAAGGCCCACCAAGGCGACGAUCCGUAGCUGGUCUGAGAGGAUGAUCAGCCACACUGGAACUGAGACAAGGUCCAGACUCCUACGGGAGGCAGCAGUGGGGAAUAUUGGACAAUGGGCGCAAGCCUGAUCCAGCCAUACCGCGUGGGUGAAGAAGGCCUUCGGGUUGUAAAGCCCUUUUGUUGGGAAAGAAAAGCAGCAGGUUAAUACCCCGCUGCUCUGACGGUACCCAAAGAAUAAGCACCGGCUAACUUCGUG